AGUUUCCGGAAGACGAAAUGGCGAAUAAACUGUGUCACCUGUCUCACCUGUGAAGUGGAGGGAGAGAGAGAGGCUAGGAUCCUCACUGGGCUGUGACAGUGAGCAAUGGUUCCAUGCAGGUGCUUCUGCAGUGCGCAGCGCAGGUGCUAGCCAACAGGUGGCGCGGCGGGCGGCGGUGACGGAGUGCGCUAACACUUGAACCCGCGACACGAUGCGUGCGGGAACGUCUGCGGCGUAGAGUAGCAGCGGCAGGUCCGCGUGUUGCUGGUUGCUUGUGAUGCUCCGCAGUACAGAGACGACCUGACCCUCCCACGAGCUUUACAGAGCCACGGACAUGUUGACCGCCGCUGAUAACUGCUCUGUCUUCUUUUCUCUACCAUCGUCGUUAUUCUUUGGAAGAAAAGAUUUGCUGCGAUGAGGGGCCUACAACUUCAAAGGCAGCAUCUACAAAGCUCAUCAUUAGUGCGCUGCUUGCCGAGAGGCCGCCAUAGAGGUAGGAGAUAAAGAUCCGUGGUAUAAAAAUAAAAAUACCUACAACUCUUUUGUCCCUCUCUGGCUCGCCAUUCCUCUCUUUCAUUUGUUUCCAAAGUCGCACAGCAACGGGAAGCCCUGGGGCCAGUGGCACAGACCAUGUCUGAACCUUAAAACAUUUAUAGAAGCAGAUUUAGAAGCUUUUCGAGGGAAUUACUUCUGAGUUGUUUUUAGAGGUGCUGCACGGGCUGAACCCUUGUCUAAGACGGAUUUUCAUUCGAAAACAGGGGCUGUUCUGUAGGAUUUGGCUGAAACA
Pomacea canaliculata is the source of this 787-nucleotide long non-coding RNA. RefSeq lists it as uncharacterized. The transcript has 3 exons. NCBI's taxonomy places the organism in Eukaryota, Metazoa, Mollusca, Gastropoda, Architaenioglossa, Ampullariidae. The record is from RefSeq and is a predicted model, not a curated record.